CACGUAGGGCGCAAGCGUUGUCCGGAAUUAUUGGGCGUAAAGAGCUCGUAGGCGGCCUGUCGCGUCUGCUGUGAAAUCCCGGGGCUCAACCCCGGGCCUGCAGCCGAUACGGGCAGACUAGAGUUCGGCAGGGGAGACUGGAAUUCCUGGUGUAGCGGUGAAAUGCGCAGAUAUCAGGAGGAACACCGGUGGCGAAGGCGGGUCUCUGGGCCGAAACUGACGCUGAGGAGCGAAAGCGUGGGGAGCAAACAGG
This 253-nucleotide ribosomal RNA is filed under the name uncultured bacterium. RNAcentral describes it as "partial 16S ribosomal RNA". It matches the Rfam family "Bacterial small subunit ribosomal RNA", at positions 524 to 776 of the family's 1533-position model. The record is from RNAcentral.